GGGCCGGUAGCUCAGCUGGUCAGAGCAGGGGACUCAUAAUCCCUGGGUCGCGGGUUCAAGUCCCGCCCGGCCUA
RNAcentral lists this transfer RNA (74 nucleotides) under Thermobifida fusca. RNAcentral describes it as "tRNA-Ile". It matches the Rfam family "tRNA". From Rfam's summary of the family: Transfer RNA (tRNA) molecules are approximately 80 nucleotides in length. RNAcentral also lists the same sequence under 1 other name. The record is from RNAcentral. Lineage: Bacteria; Bacillati; Actinomycetota; Actinomycetes; Streptosporangiales; Nocardiopsidaceae.